This is a long non-coding RNA of Rhinolophus ferrumequinum (greater horseshoe bat), 1334 nucleotides long. RefSeq lists it as uncharacterized. The transcript is spliced from 4 exons. Lineage: Eukaryota; Metazoa; Chordata; Mammalia; Chiroptera; Rhinolophidae. The record is from RefSeq and is a predicted model, not a curated record.
CUUUCGGUAAAUGUUGCACUCCAGUAAUGAGAUUUUAAGAAUUACUCAGUCAUUGAACCAUGUGAAUUCAAUGGUUGGUAAACCGGGGACCUUAAGAAAUUACUGAGUUUUCUGCUACGUUGUCAUCAGCCAGUUGAUCAAGGACCCACAGAGACAGUCACCACUGCACAUGAUUCUUCAGUUUUUCCAAAGGUAAGGAAAAUGAACCUCAGAGCUUCGUCCAAGGUCUCACGCUCAGAGAGUUAUAGAACCAAAACUAGAAGCGAGGCCUUCUGAAGUAUUGUACUCCGUGGUCCGUUAUUCUUCGUCCCAGGAGACUAACAUCUGCAAGUUACCAAAGAGAAACCGAAGGGGAUAUAAGAUUGAGUGGAAGAGGACUGGGAAAAAGAGAACAACGAGGCGGCCUAAGGCUUACUGAUAAGAUGAGGUGCAAAAACCAGCUGCAGAAGUGCAUUUAGUGCCGCUACAUUAGGUGGAUGGACUCUAGGUGGAGGCGGGAACCUGCAGGAUAACAGGAGUCAGGUGCGGAGCCAGCAGGAGAAAGACGACCAAGCAGCUCCAUAGUCCAACACUGUGGUCCUUCCAACCAAGGCCAAAGUCAGGAGCCUAGAGCAACCAGGGCUGAGGGCUGGACUGAAUGGCAGAAAGUGAAUGUCUCCACAAGCAAAUAAAGCUGUGUGGCAUCAGGGACCCCUACACUGUCACUGUAAUGGAAGCAAUUUGCAUUUAGCUGAUUUUUCAGGGGUAACUCCCUUUAGUAACCAAAUCCACUGGGAUCAAACACUGCAAACCAUAAUGGAAAAAGGAAUCUAUGCACAUAUUAAUGAUUUUCAUGCAUGGAAUGUACAAUCAAAACGGGGUUUGAAACCCUCAUACCUUUGACCAUGAUCUGUGAAGAUCCCUGUGUGACAAAGAUCAAAAAAUGACAGAAACUAGAAGAAAAAGUUAUUUUAAGCCCACCCUGCAGCCAGAGGCAGGAUAACAGAAAUAAUCACUAACACUAUAUAGCACCUUCAUAUACCAAGGGCUUUUAAGCAUUUCACAUGUAUUGAUAUAUUUAAUCUUCACAACACUUUUAGGUAGAUGCAGCUAUUAUUUCUAUUUAAAAAUGAAAAAAAAUCCAUCUCAGAAAGGUUCUAUGACUUGCCCAAGGUCCUCAGCUAGUUAGUGGCAGAGCCAGGAUUCAAACCCAGGCAGUCUGCUUUGAGGCCACACCUUUCGCCACCCCAUCAUAUGGUACAAUGGGAUGUCUUGUCCGGUGUGCCUAGACAGUGCAGAGUACCGGCUCAAGGAUGACCUUACCCAAUUCUAACAGGUGCACUCGUUCAAUAAAA